This 208-nucleotide long non-coding RNA is filed under the name Zonotrichia albicollis (white-throated sparrow). RNAcentral describes it as "lncRNA (ENSZALG00000010899.1)". Lineage: Eukaryota; Metazoa; Chordata; Aves; Passeriformes; Passerellidae. The record is from RNAcentral.
CAGCCUCACCCGUUGUAUGCUCUGCUUACUGUUACAGGUGCAAGUGAAAUAAAAUGGAGGCAACCUUUUCCUUCUUGUGCAAGUAAGACAGGGAAAUCUCCUGGGCUCUCGGGUUGAUCACAGGAAAGACAGCUGUGCUCAGACUCCAGCAGAAGUGGCAUGUGUAUGGAAGCAGGCAUGCCAUGAAACAAGAAGUCCUGCACACUGU